CGUAGGAGACAAACGUUAUCCGGAGUUACUGGGCGUAAAGGGCGUGUAGGUGGUUUCGUAAGUCUGGCGUGAAAUUUUUCGGCUUAACCGGGAAAGGUCGUCGGAUACUGCGGGACUGGAGGACGGUAGAGGCGUGUGGAAUUCCGGGUGUAGUGGUGAAAUGCGUAGAGAUCCGGAGGAACACCAGUGGCGAAGGCGACACGCUGGGCCGUACCUGACACUGAAACGCGACAGCAUGGGGAGCAAACAGGAUUAGAAACCCUGGUAGUCCAUGCCGUAAACGAUGCUAGCUGGGUGUUCAGGGGGGGAAACCCCCUCGGGGUACCGAAGUCAACACGGUAAGCUAGCCGCCUGGGGAGUACGGUCGCAAGAUUA
Molecule: ribosomal RNA, 375 nt
Filed under: uncultured organism
Description: bacterial SSU rRNA
Rfam family: Bacterial small subunit ribosomal RNA
Source: RNAcentral